Molecule: ribosomal RNA, 253 nt
Filed under: uncultured bacterium
Lineage: Bacteria
Description: partial 16S ribosomal RNA
Rfam family: Bacterial small subunit ribosomal RNA
Source: RNAcentral
UACGUAGGGGGCUAGCGUUGUCCGGAAUCAUUGGGCGUAAAGAGCGUGUAGGCGGCCACGCAGGUCCGUUGUGAAAACUGGAGGCUCAACCUUCAGACGUCGACGGAAACCGUGUGGCUAGAGUCCGGAAGAGGAGAGUGGAAUUCCUGGUGUAGCGGUGAAAUGCGCAGAUAUCAGGAAGAACACCAAUGGCGAAGGCAGCUCUCUGGGACGGUACUGACGCUGAGACGCGAAAGCGUGGGGAGCGAACGGG